UACGUAGGGGGCAAGCGUUAUCCGGAUUUACUGGGUGUAAAGGGAGCGUAGACGGCUGUGCAAGCCAGAUGUGAAAGCCCGGGGCUCAACCCCGGGACUGCAUUUGGAACUGUGUAGCUGGAGUGUCGGAGAGGCAGGCGGAAUUCCUAGUGUAGCGGUGAAAUGCGUAGAUAUAUGGAGGAACACCGGUGGCGAAAGCGGCUCUCUGGCCUGUAACUGACACUGAGGCUCGAAAGCGUGGGGAGCAAACAGG
This 253-nucleotide ribosomal RNA is filed under the name uncultured bacterium. RNAcentral describes it as "partial 16S ribosomal RNA". It matches the Rfam family "Bacterial small subunit ribosomal RNA", at positions 524 to 776 of the family's 1533-position model. The record is from RNAcentral.